UAUUCUCAACCUUUAUAGCUUUUUUUGAGGCAAUAAAGGCUUGGACUUGGAGGUCGUGUCGGCGCAAGUCGACUCCUCUUAAAUGCAUUAGUGUGAACCUUACGGAUCGCCUCCAGUGUGAUAAUUGUCUACGCUGUGGUGUUGAAGUAUAGUCGAGUUCAUGCUUCUAAUUGUCCGCAUGGACACACAAAUUAAAACUUGACA
RNAcentral lists this unclassified non-coding RNA (204 nucleotides) under Phlebiodontia subochracea. RNAcentral's name for it is "Phlebia subochracea partial internal transcribed spacer 2". The record is from RNAcentral. Lineage: Eukaryota; Fungi; Basidiomycota; Agaricomycetes; Polyporales; Meruliaceae.